This 492-nucleotide ribosomal RNA is filed under the name uncultured bacterium. Its description in RNAcentral is "partial 16S ribosomal RNA". It matches the Rfam family "Bacterial small subunit ribosomal RNA", at positions 29 to 507 of the family's 1533-position model. The record is from RNAcentral.
AGUGAACGCUGGCGGUAGGCCUAACACAUGCAAGUCGAACGGCAGCACAGUAAGAGCUUGCUCGUACGGGUGGCGAGUGGCGGACGGGUGAGGAAUACAUCGGAAUCUACUUUUUCGUGGGGGAUAACGUAGGGAAACUUACGGUAAUACCGCAUACGACCUACGGUUGAAAGCAGUGGAUCUUCUGACCUUGCGCGAUUGAAUGAGCCGAUGUCGGAGUAGCUAGUUGGCGGGGUAAAGGCCCACCAAGGCGACGAUCCGUAGCUGGUAUGAGAGGAUGAUCGGCCACACUGGAACUGAGACACGGUCCCGACUCCUAGGGGAGGAAGCGGUGGGGAAUAUUGGACAAUGGGGGAAAGCCUGAUCCAGCCAUACCGCGUGGGUGAAGAAGGCCUUCGGGUUGUAAAGCCCUUUUGUUGGGAAAGAAAAGAAGCAGGUUAAUACCCCGCUGUUCUGACGGUACCCAAAGAAUAAGCACCGGCUAACUUCGUG